This 857-nucleotide ribosomal RNA is filed under the name uncultured organism. RNAcentral describes it as "bacterial SSU rRNA". It matches the Rfam family "Bacterial small subunit ribosomal RNA", at positions 55 to 913 of the family's 1533-position model. The record is from RNAcentral.
AUGCAGUCGAGCGAGAACCCGCAAGGGGGACAGCGGCGAACGGGGUAGGACAACGUAGGUAACGUACCCUCGGGGCGAGGACAGCCACGGGAAACUGUGGGUAAUACUCGAUAAUGUUCCCUGCCUUGAUUGGCGGGGAACCAAUGGGUGAGAUUCCACCUGAGGAGCGGCUUACGCAGUAUCAGCUAGUUGGUGAGGUAACGGCUCACCAAGGCUACGACGCUUAGGGGGUGUGAGAGCAUGGCCCCCACCACUGGCACUGAGACACUGGCCAGACACCUACGGGUGGCUGCAGUCGAGAAUCUUCGGCAAUGGGCGCAAGCCUGACCGAGCGACGCCGCGUGCGGGAUGAAGGCCCUCGGGUUGUAAACCGCUGUCAGAGGGGAUGAAGUGUACGAGAGCUAUCUCUUGUAUUUGACAGAGCCUCAGAGGAAGCACGGGCUAAGUUCGUGCCAGCAGCCGCGGUAAUACGAACUGUGCGAACGUUAUUCGGAAUCACUGGGCUUAAAGGGUGCGUAGGCUGUUACCUAAGUCAGGUGUGAAAUCUCUCGGCUCAACCGGGAAACUGCGCUUGAUACUGGGUGGCUAGAGUGAGGUAGGGGUGUGUGGAACUUCCGGUGGAGCGGUGAAAUGUGUAGAUAUCGGAAGGAACGCCAGCAGCGAAAGCGGCACACUGGGCCUUUUCUGACGCUGAGGCACGAAAGCUAGGGGAGCGAACGGGAUUAGAUACCCCGGUAGUCCUAGCCGUAAACACUGAACACUCGAGGAGGGGGGCUUCGGCCUUCUUCUUCUUAGCGAAAGCGUUAAGUGUUCCGCCUGGGGAGUAUGGUCGCAAGGCUGAAACUCAAAGGAAUUGA